GCGGGUAUGGCGGAAUUGGCAGACGCGCCAGAUUUAGGUUCUGGUGUCCCAGACGUGCAGGUUCAAGUCCUGUUACCCGCACCA
This 84-nucleotide transfer RNA is filed under the name Butyricicoccus pullicaecorum. RNAcentral's name for it is "tRNA-Leu". It matches the Rfam family "tRNA". From Rfam's summary of the family: Transfer RNA (tRNA) molecules are approximately 80 nucleotides in length. Their secondary structure includes four short double-helical elements and three loops (D, anti-codon, and T loops). Lineage: Bacteria; Bacillati; Bacillota; Clostridia; Eubacteriales; Butyricicoccaceae. The record is from RNAcentral. RNAcentral also lists the same sequence under 4 other names.